RNAcentral lists this ribosomal RNA (275 nucleotides) under uncultured bacterium. RNAcentral describes it as "partial 16S ribosomal RNA". It matches the Rfam family "Bacterial small subunit ribosomal RNA", at positions 338 to 608 of the family's 1533-position model. The record is from RNAcentral.
CCUACGGGGGGCUGCAGUCGAGAAUCUUCGGCAAUGGGCGCAAGCCUGACCGAGCGACGCCGCGUGCGGGAUGAAGGUCUUCGGAUUGUAAACCGCUGUCGGGAGGGAUGAAGUGUAUCGGGGCUAUCCCCGGUAUUUGACAGAGCUCCAGAGGAAGCACGGGCUAAGUUCGUGCCAGCAGCCGCGGUAAUACGAACUGUGCGAACGUUAUUCGGAAUCACUGGGCUUAAAGGGUGCGUAGGCGGUUUGUUAAGUCAGGUGUGAAAUCCCCCAGC